GACGAACGCUGGCGGCGUGCCUAAUACAUGCAAGUCGAGCGAAGUUUUUCUGGUGCUUGCACCGGAAAAACUUAGCGGCGAACGGGUGAGUAACACGUAAAGAACCUGCCUCAUAGACUGGGACAACUAUUGGAAACGAUAGCUAAUACCGGAUAACAGCAUUAACUGCAUGGUUGAUGUUUAAAAGUUGGUUUUGCUAACACUAUGAGAUGGCUUUGCGGUGCAUUAGCUAGUUGGUGGGGUAAAGGCCUACCAAGGCGACGAUGCAUAGCCGACCUGAGAGGGUGAUCGGCCACACUGGGACUGAGACACGGCCCAGACUCCUACGGGAGGCAGCAGUAGGGAAUCUUCCGCAAUGGGCGAAAGCCUGACGGAGCAACGCCGCGUGAGUGAAGAAGGAUUUCGGUUCGUAAAGCUCUGUUGUUAGGGAAGAAUGAUUGUGUAGUAACUAUACACCAGAGAGACGGACCUAACCA
RNAcentral lists this ribosomal RNA (476 nucleotides) under Gemella haemolysans. RNAcentral's name for it is "bacterial SSU rRNA". It matches the Rfam family "Bacterial small subunit ribosomal RNA", at positions 28 to 485 of the family's 1533-position model. Lineage: Bacteria; Bacillati; Bacillota; Bacilli; Caryophanales; Gemellaceae. The record is from RNAcentral.